GCCAGUAUAGUGGAUAAUGACUCUCGGCUUGUAACGGAGUGGGUUCGGGUUCGAAUCCCGAGUAAGGCA
This 69-nucleotide transfer RNA is filed under the name Trichonephila inaurata madagascariensis. RNAcentral's name for it is "tRNA-Thr". The record is from RNAcentral. Lineage: Eukaryota; Metazoa; Arthropoda; Arachnida; Araneae; Nephilidae.